RNAcentral lists this ribosomal RNA (774 nucleotides) under uncultured Neocallimastigales. Its description in RNAcentral is "partial large subunit ribosomal RNA". It matches the Rfam family "Eukaryotic large subunit ribosomal RNA", at positions 23 to 616 of the family's 3401-position model. The record is from RNAcentral. Lineage: Eukaryota; Fungi; Neocallimastigomycota; Neocallimastigomycetes; Neocallimastigales.
AGAGAGAGACAUGCGCGCAUAUCAAUAAGCGGAGGAAAAGAAACUAACAAGGAUUCCCCUAGUAACGGCGAGUGAAGCGGGAAGAGCUCAAAUUUGAAAUCUUCAAGGGUUUACCUUUACGAAUUGUAGUUUAAAGAAGUGUUUUCUGUUGAGGUUUCGGUAAAAGUUCUUUGGAAUAGGACAUCAUAGAGGGUGAGAAUCCCGUAUUUGACCUUUACUUUCAACUGUGUGAUACACUUUCAAAGAGUCGGAUUGUUUGGGAAUGCAGUCCAAAAUGGGUGGUAAAUUUCAUCUAAAGCUAAAUAUUGGCGAGAGACCGAUAGCGAACAAGUACCGUGAGGGAAAGAUGAAAAGAACUUUGAAAAGAGAGUUAAACAGUACGUGAAAUUGUCAAAAGGGAAGCGUUUGACACCAGUGUUGUUUUUCUGAAAAUCAAUUAAAGAACUGUUUAUGCUAAGUUGUUUAGACUUUAUCAGCUAACUGUUUAGUUUUGAGCUUUUCUUUAAUGCACUUUUCAGUUAACAAGUCAACAUCAAUUUCUUUUGCUGUAAAAAAGCUUGAGGAAGGUGGCUUGAGAUUCGUCUUAAGUGUUUAUAGCCUCUUGCCUAUGCAGUCGGAGAGAUUGAGGUCUGCAGCGUAGAUCCUUCGGGGCUAAAUGCAUUUGUGCUAAGUUAUAGCAUUUUAUAGACAACUUGUUGACUAUGAUUUGUCUUGUAGCUUACUCGCUUAUGUUAUUUUACCUACGCUUAGGAUGUUGAGCGCAUGUCUCUCUCU